CGUGGGUGACGCCGCUGCCCGGAAAGGCGGAAGUAGAGGUGCGGCGACAUGGAGGGGACGCUAGAGCAGCACCUGGAGGACACCAUGAAGAGCCCGGCCGUGGUGGGCGUUCUCUGCACCGACUCGCAGGGGCUCAACCUGGGCUGCCGAGGAACCCUCUCCGAUGAGCACGCCGGCAUCGUCUCUGUCCUCGCCCAGCAGGCAGCCAAGCUCACCUCCGACCCAACCGAUACGCCUGUGGUGUGCCUCGAGUCAGACAGCGGGUGGGCUUCCAGCCAGGGGUGCCCCUUCUCCCCAGAGCCAGAGCCCUAGAGCAGCUCUCCCCUGUUUUGAGCUAAACAGGCAGGCCUGGAAGAAGCCCCAUCUGCAAAGCCAUGGGGGUGAAGGAAUAUCAUGAUCCAGAAGCACGACAGCAUCACUGUAGCAGUGCACAAGCUGGCAUCCUGACCCUGGGGAACCUGCCCAGCGUUCCACUCCCACAUCAGUUCCAGCUCCUCCUUACUGGACAACCACUCUCCUCUACUGCUCCAGCACAGCUUCUAGUAUAAAACCUGGGCUGAAGGCUUUCCCUCUCCACUUAACACCUCCUGUGCAGCUAGCGGGGUCUCCAACUUGCAUUCUAGCAGUUGUGUUGCUGAGGAUGAAGCGUGGGUCACUCACCAAGAUCAUAUAAUGAUCAGAUACUGCGCACUGUAUGUUUGUGUGGCCUUUCUUUGGAGAAAUCAAUAAAUGACCUGCAAAAAAAUGGGCCUUUUCUUCC
This is an RNA transcript of Cuculus canorus (common cuckoo), 760 nucleotides long. It is a transcript of the gene named late endosomal/lysosomal adaptor, MAPK and MTOR activator 5, with no coding region annotated. The transcript has 4 exons. Lineage: Eukaryota; Metazoa; Chordata; Aves; Cuculiformes; Cuculidae. The record is from RefSeq and is a predicted model, not a curated record.